UGGCGGACGGGUGAGUAACGCGUGGAAAACCUGCCGUAUACUGGGGGAUAACACUUAGAAAUAGGUGCUAAUACCGCAUAAGCGCACAGCUUCGCAUGAAGCGGUGUGAAAAACUCUGGUGGUAUACGAUGGUUCCGCGUCUGAUUAGCUAGUUGGUGGGGUAAUGGCCUACCAAGGCAACGAUCAGUAGCCGACCUGAGAGGGUGAACGGCCACAUUGGGACUGAGACACGGCCCAAACUCCUACGGGAGGCAGCAG
This 258-nucleotide ribosomal RNA is filed under the name uncultured bacterium. RNAcentral describes it as "partial 16S ribosomal RNA". It matches the Rfam family "Bacterial small subunit ribosomal RNA", at positions 96 to 354 of the family's 1533-position model. The record is from RNAcentral.